UCCUACGGGAGGCAGCAGUGGGGAAUUUUGGACAAUGGGCGCAAGCCUGAUCCAGCUAUUCCGCGUGUGGGAUGACGGCCCUCGGGUUGUAAACCACUUUAGUAGAGAACGAAAAGGAGCUAUCGAAUAAAUAGCUCUGCUGACGGUACUCUAAGAAUAAGCACCGGCUAACUACGUGCCAGCAGCCGCGGUAA
RNAcentral lists this ribosomal RNA (194 nucleotides) under uncultured bacterium. RNAcentral's name for it is "partial 16S ribosomal RNA". It matches the Rfam family "Bacterial small subunit ribosomal RNA", at positions 337 to 523 of the family's 1533-position model. The record is from RNAcentral.